This 481-nucleotide ribosomal RNA is filed under the name uncultured bacterium. RNAcentral describes it as "bacterial SSU rRNA". It matches the Rfam family "Bacterial small subunit ribosomal RNA", at positions 48 to 518 of the family's 1533-position model. The record is from RNAcentral.
UUAACACAUGCAAGUCGAACGGAGAUACAUGGAGGAGAGCUCGGCAGGAAUCCGGCGUAUCUUAGUGGCGGACGGGUGAGUAACGCGUGAGCAACCUGUCCCAGACGAGGGGGAUAACACUUGGAAACAGGUGCUAAUACCGCAUAAGACCACGGUGUCACAUGGCGCUGAAGGUAAAAGGAAGAAAUCCGGGUUUGGGGUGGGCUCGCGUCCGAUUAGAUAGUUGGUGAGGUAACGGCCCACCAAGUCGACGAUCGGUAGCCGACCUGAGAGGGUGAUCGGCCACAUUGGAACUGAGAGACGGUCCAAACUCCUACGGGAGGCAGCAGGUGGGGAAUAUUGGGCAAUGGGCGAAAAAGCCUGACCCAGCAACGCCGCGUGAGUGAAGAAGGCUUUCGGGUUGUAAAGCUCUGUUAUAGGGGACGAAGGAAGUGACGGUACCCUAUAAGGAAGCCCCGGCUAACUACGUGCCAGCCGCCGC